GAUGAACGCUGGCGGUGUGCCUAAUACAUGCAAGUCGAGCGAACAGACGAGGAGCUUGUUCUUCUGACGUUAGCGGCGGACGGGCGAGUACCACGCGGAUAACCUACUUACAAGACUGGGAUAACUUCGGCAAACCGGAGCUAACACCGGAUAACAUGUCGAUCCGCUUGGCUUAACAGUGAAAGACGGUCUUGCUGUCACUUAUAGAUGGAUCCGCGCCGCAUUAGCUAGUUGGUAAGGUAACGGCUUACCAAGGCAACGAUGCGUAGCCGACCGGAGAGGGUGAUCGGCCACACUGGAACUGAGCCGCGGUCCGGACUCCUACGGGAGGCAGCGGUGGGGAAUCUUCCGCAGUGGGCGAAAGCCUGACGGGACAACGCCGCGUGAGUGAAGAGGGUCUUCGGAUCGUAAAACUCUGUUAUUAGGGAAGAACAAAUGUGUAAGUCACUAUGCACGUCUUGACGGUACCUUAUCAAAAAGCCACGGCUAACUACGUG
RNAcentral lists this ribosomal RNA (497 nucleotides) under uncultured bacterium. Its description in RNAcentral is "partial 16S ribosomal RNA". It matches the Rfam family "Bacterial small subunit ribosomal RNA", at positions 28 to 507 of the family's 1533-position model. The record is from RNAcentral.